Acanthosepion pharaonis is the source of this 97-nucleotide non-coding RNA. Lineage: Eukaryota; Metazoa; Mollusca; Cephalopoda; Sepiida; Sepiidae. The record is from the annotation of a GenBank genome assembly.
UUAAACACCAUUUCCUGUACGAACACCGAAGCUAAGCAACGUCGAACCAAGUCAGUACCAAAAUGGGUGUGCGUUUCGGAAUACCAGGUGCUGUAAG